Molecule: long non-coding RNA, 1279 nt
Filed under: Helianthus annuus (common sunflower)
Lineage: Eukaryota; Viridiplantae; Streptophyta; Magnoliopsida; Asterales; Asteraceae
Description: sRNA HanXRQr2_Chr07g0312231
Source: RNAcentral
AUGAUUAUGUGUGGCAGUGGUGGUUGUGGUGGUGGCUGGAGGUGGCAGUCGUUGGAGAAGAUGACCGGAGUUGCAGGUUUCCGGUGACGGAAGUAGUGGUGGUGUUAUAUAUGAAAGGGAUAUUAAGUUGUGGUGGUGGCUGGAGGUGGCAGUGGUGGUUGUGGUGGUGAAUGGCGGUGGCAGUGGUGGCAGUGGUGGCAGGGGGUAAUAUCACAGAGUGCACAAAAACACAGGGAGUAAUAUGAAAGGGCAUUAUAGUCAUUUCAAGUUAUAGUCAACAGAUUAGUCAACAAAUCUGAGGCCGGGGGGUAAGGUUGCAACAUAACAGCAAACAGUGGGGGGUAAAAUUGCAAUUAUUUCCUUAGGGGGGUAAGGGUGCCAAUCACCCCUAACCACAGGGUGUAAAAUUGCAGUUUACUCUAACUCUUAUCUUUAUUAGUGGGCAAGAAUAGAAUGGAAGGAAAGUGGGAAACUGGUGUUAACUUGGUUCAUAGAUGGAAAGCAUUUUAAAAUACAAGUUCGUCAUACGUUUCUUACACUCCAAGCAACACAAAUUACAAACUUGAUAAUAGUACGAAGAGAGUACCCAGACAUAGCAGCCACCAUGAGUGAUGAAAGCAUACCGACUGAUCCAUCUCCAGAUCCUUCCUUCUUAAGUUUAAGUGCAGCUGCUUCAGCCUUGCUCCUGAAUAUUUGAUAGAAAUAAUAGUAAACACCCUGUAGCAUACAAAUAGGAUGAUAAGAAUCAGGCAUUUAGGGACUAAAUGUGUCUUCAAUCUUUAUACUUAUAACAAGAUUUUAAUGAGUUAUUUACUCACUUAGUUUACCUACAAGGCUACAAAUUUAGUAACUUCAAGGAGAUGCAUGUGACAGCAAAAUCAAGCAGUCACAUAGGCGAACAGUGAUCAUAUGGUAUACUGUAUACAUUGCCUAACGUAUUUGGUUAAUGUUCUUAAUCAUGUUUAAAUUUGAAACAAGUUAUCAAAUACCCAUGUGGGAAGAGCUUAUUAGAACCAUAAAAGGCUGCACGAUGUUUGCUUCUUAUGGAGGGGGCGGCCGACCCCCCAAACUUUUUGCUCAGUAGUGGAGAGUAUGUAGUUUUCGUAUAGAAAUUUUUGGGUAUAUACGUUUUCGACCCCCCGGUUUUAUAGAAAUUUUUAGGUCCAGUGACUUCCGUCUCCCCGGUCGGAAAUCUCAAACUUCGCCACUGCUAAUGUAUUGUCUUAUAAAUGUCACAUUGACUAUACUACCAAGUGUUUCUUGGAAUUUAAAUUGUAGU